UUGAGCCGCUUCACUCCGGUGGCGCCGAACGGCCCGUCGUGGCCGCAGGAGCUGACCACCACCCUGGCCUCCAUCACGUUGGGGUCCAUGCAGGACUGUGUGUCGUGGUUCAUUGACACCAGCGCCCAGUUGGUCACCACGCCGGCAACGCGGCCUUCCUUGACGAUGAGGUCCUCGGCGGCGACCGCGUUGAAGAGCUUGACAUUGGGGCGGGCGAGGAGGCGGCUCAUGAUGGUGGAGGUGAAGAGCGCGGCGUGGUGGAUCACGACGUAGCUGUCGGCUUCGUCAUAAGCCACGCCGAGCUCGUCCAGGAAGAGGUGG
RNAcentral lists this long non-coding RNA (321 nucleotides) under Musa acuminata (dwarf banana). RNAcentral's name for it is "long non-coding RNA (MACU_LNC003686)". The record is from RNAcentral. Lineage: Eukaryota; Viridiplantae; Streptophyta; Magnoliopsida; Zingiberales; Musaceae.